AGUGAACUUCGUUUGAAGUGAAAAUCCUUUCUAGUCCCGAACUUAUUUCCGGAUCCUGAAACAAGUUCGGGACUAGAAAGAUUGCAGUGGAAAGCAGGAAAUAGC
This 105-nucleotide small RNA is filed under the name Flavobacterium xinjiangense. RNAcentral's name for it is "Flavo-1 RNA". It matches the Rfam family "Flavo-1 RNA". The record is from RNAcentral. Lineage: Bacteria; Pseudomonadati; Bacteroidota; Flavobacteriia; Flavobacteriales; Flavobacteriaceae.